RNAcentral lists this ribosomal RNA (222 nucleotides) under uncultured bacterium. RNAcentral describes it as "partial 16S ribosomal RNA". It matches the Rfam family "Bacterial small subunit ribosomal RNA", at positions 328 to 544 of the family's 1533-position model. The record is from RNAcentral.
ACGCUCGACACCUACGGGAGCAGCAGUGAGGAAUAUUGGUCAAUGGGCGCUAGCCUGAACCAGCCAAGUAGCGUGAAGGAUGAAGGCUCUAUGGGUCGUAAACUUCUUUUAUAUAAGAAUAAAGUGCAGUAUGUAUACUGUUUUGUAUGUAUUAUAUGAAUAAGGAUCGGCUAACUCCGUGCCAACAGCCGCCGGUAAGUACUGAGCGGGCGUGGCGAAGGC